RNAcentral lists this ribosomal RNA (502 nucleotides) under uncultured bacterium. RNAcentral describes it as "partial 16S ribosomal RNA". It matches the Rfam family "Bacterial small subunit ribosomal RNA", at positions 29 to 506 of the family's 1533-position model. The record is from RNAcentral.
AACGAACGCUGGCGGCGUGCCUAACACAUGCAAGUCGAACGAGAAAGGGGCUUCGGCUCCGAGUAAAGUGGCGCACGGGUGAGUAACACGUGGGUAACCUGCCUCUAAGAUUGGGAUAACUCGUCGAAAGAUGAGCUAAUACCGAAUAAGACCACAGUUCCCGCGGGAACAGGGGUCAAAGGUAGCCUCUGCUUGCAAGCUAUCACUUAGAGAUGGGCCUGCGCACCAUUAGCUAGUUGGUAGGGUAACGGCCUACCAAGGCAAAGAUGGUUAGCUGGUCUGAGAGGAUGAUCAGCCACACUGGAACUGAGACACGGUCCAGACUCCUACGGGAGGCAGCAGUGGGGAAUAUUGCGCAAUGGGCGAAAGCUUGACGCAGCAACGCCGCGUGAGUGAUGAAGGCCUUCGGGUCGUAAAGCUCUGUCGGGAGGAACGAAUGAUCCUGAGGUUAACAGCCUCGGGAGGUGACGGUACCUUCAAAGGAAGCACCGGCUAACUCUGU